RNAcentral lists this ribosomal RNA (520 nucleotides) under uncultured bacterium. RNAcentral's name for it is "bacterial SSU rRNA". It matches the Rfam family "Bacterial small subunit ribosomal RNA", at positions 988 to 1509 of the family's 1533-position model. The record is from RNAcentral.
CCAGAGAACUUUCCAGAGAUGGAUUGGUGCCUUCGGGAACUCUGAGACAGGUGCUGCAUGGCUGUCGUCAGCUCGUGUUGUGAAAUGUUGGGUUAAGUCCCGCAACGAGCGCAACCCUUAUCCUUUGUUGCCAGCGGUUAGCCGGGAACUCAAAGGAGACUGCCAGUGAUAAACUGGAGGAAGGUGGGGAUGACGUCAAGUCAUCAUGGCCCUUACGAGUAGGGCUACACACGUGCUACAAUGGCGCAUACAAAGAGAAGCGACCUCGCGAGAGCAAGCGGACCUCAUAAAGUGCGUCGUAGUCCGGAUUGGAGUCUGCAACUCGACUCCAUGAAGUCGGAAUCGCUAGUAAUCGUGGAUCAGAAUGCCACGGUGAAUACGUUCCCGGGCCUUGUACACACCGCCCGUCACACCAUGGGAGUGGGUUGCAAAAGAAGUAGGUAGCUUAACCUUCGGGAGGGCGCUUACCACUUUGUGAUUCAUGACUGGGGUGAAGUCGUAACAAGGUAAGCGUAGUGCU